Molecule: unclassified non-coding RNA, 343 nt
Filed under: soil metagenome
Description: partial contains 5.8S ribosomal RNA, internal transcribed spacer 2, and large subunit ribosomal RNA
Rfam family: 5.8S ribosomal RNA (bases 1-120)
Source: RNAcentral
GAUGAAGAACGCAGCGAAAUGCGAUAAGUAAUGUGAAUUGCAGAAUUCAGUGAAUCAUCGAAUCUUUGAGCGCACAUUGCGCCCGCUAGUAUUCUGGCGGGCAUGCCUGUCCGAGCGUCAUUUCAACCCUCAAGCCCCCGGGCUUGGUGUUGGGGAUCGGCGAGCCUCCGCGCCCGCCGUCCCCUAAAUCUAGUGGCGGUCUCGCUGUAGCUUCCUCUGCGUAGUAGCACACCUCGCACUGGGAAACAGCGCGGCCACGCCGUUAAACCCCCAACUUCUGAACGUUUGACCUCGGAUCAGGUAGGAAUACCCGCUGAACUUAAGCAUAUCAAUAAGCGGAGGA